This 692-nucleotide ribosomal RNA is filed under the name Careproctus rastrinus. RNAcentral's name for it is "partial 16S rRNA". The stretch from base 1 to 442 matches the Rfam family "Bacterial large subunit ribosomal RNA", at positions 705 to 1298 of the family's 2925-position model. The record is from RNAcentral. Lineage: Eukaryota; Metazoa; Chordata; Actinopteri; Perciformes; Liparidae.
GUUUGAUACCCCGAAACUACGUGAGCUACUUCAAGACAGCCUAUUAUAGGGCUAACCCAUCUCUGUGGCAAAAGCGUGGGAAGAACUUUGAGUAGAGGUGACAAACCUACCGAACCUAGUUAUAGCUGGUUGUCCAAGAAAUGAAUAAAAGUUCAGCCUCUAAGCUUCUCCUUUCACCUGAACUUAACCCCUUUAGAUGUAUUAAAGAAACUAAGAAAGUUAGUCAAAGGAGGUACAGCUCCUUUGAAUCAAGACACAACUUUAACAGGCGGGUAAAGAUCAUAAUAACCAAAGCUAGACAUUCUGGUGGGCCUAAAAGCAGCCAUCCCUUAGAAAGCGUUAAAGCUCAAACAUAUUACUUAUACCUUCUUAUCCUGAUCAAUAAAUCUCACCCCCCUAACCAUACUGGACCCUCCCAUGCCCCCAUGGGUGUGAUUAUGCUAAUAUGAGUAAUAAGAGAGCCCGCCUCUCUCCCUGCACACGUGUACCUCGGAACAGACAACCCACCGACCAUUAACGACCCCAAACAAAGAGGGCAAUAAAUCAUAAACUAAAAUCAAGUAAAACAUUUAAAAAUUAACCGUUAACCCCACACAGGUGUACCCCAAGGAAAGACCUAAAGAAAGAGAAGGAACUCGGCAAACACAUAAAGUCUCGCCUGUUUACCAAAAACAUCGCCUCUUGUACCCCCC